AGUGUAGCUUAGUUGGUUAAAGCUGUUGACUUUUAAUCAGAGGAUCGCAGGUUCGAAUCCUGCCACU
Molecule: transfer RNA, 67 nt
Filed under: marine eukaryotic metagenome
Rfam family: tRNA
About the family: Transfer RNA (tRNA) molecules are approximately 80 nucleotides in length. Their secondary structure includes four short double-helical elements and three loops (D, anti-codon, and T loops). Further hydrogen bonds mediate the characteristic L-shaped molecular structure. tRNAs have two regions of fundamental functional importance: the anti-codon, which is responsible for specific mRNA codon recognition, and the 3' end, to which the tRNAs corresponding amino acid is attached (by aminoacyl-tRNA synthetases). tRNAs cope with the degeneracy of the genetic code in two manners: having more than one tRNA (with a specific anti-codon) for a particular amino acid; and 'wobble' base-pairing, i.e. permitting non-standard base-pairing at the 3rd anti-codon position.
Source: RNAcentral